This 468-nucleotide ribosomal RNA is filed under the name uncultured bacterium. RNAcentral describes it as "bacterial SSU rRNA". It matches the Rfam family "Bacterial small subunit ribosomal RNA", at positions 29 to 507 of the family's 1533-position model. The record is from RNAcentral.
AUUGAACGCUGGCGGAAUGCUUUACACAUGCAAGUCGAGCGGCAGCGCGGGGCGAACCCUCGGCGGCGAGCGGCGAACGGGUGGAGUAACAUAUCGGAACGUACCCACGUCGUGGGGAGUAACUAUCCGAAGGAUAGCUAAUACCGCAUACGUCCUGAGGGAGGAAAGACGGGGGAGUCGCAAGACCUCGCGCGAUUGGAGCGGCCGAUAUCGGAUUAGCUAGUUGGUGGGGUAAAGGGACUCACCAAGGCGACGAUCCGUAGCGGGUCUGAGAGGACGACCCGCCACACUGGAACUGAGACACGGUCCAGACUCCUACGGGAGGCAGCAGUGGGGAAGUUUUGGACAAUGGGGGCGAACCCUGAUCCAGCCAUUCCGCGUGAGUGAAGAAGGCCCUAGGGUUGUAAAGCUCUUUCAGCUGGGAAGAUAAUGACGGUACCAGCAGAAGAAGCCCCGGCUAACUCCGUG